GUGGGGAAUAUUGGACAAUGGGCGAAAGCCUGAUCCAGCAAUGCCGCGUGAGUGAUGAAGGCCUUAGGGUUGUAAAGCUCUUUUACCAGGGAUGAUAAUGACAGUACCUGGAGAAUAAGCUCCGGCUAACUCCGUGCCAGCAGCCGCGGUAAUACGGAGGGAGCUAGCGUUGUUCGGAAUUACUGGGCGUAAAGCGCGCGUAGGCGGUUUAUCAAGUCAGGGGUGAAAUCCCGGGGCUCAACCCAGGAACUGCCCUUGAAACUGGUUCACUAGAAUCCUGGAGAGGCGAGUGGAAUUCCGAGUGUAGAGGUGAAAUUCGUAGAUAUUCGGAAGAACACCAGUGGCGAAGGCGACUCGCUGGACAGGUAUUGACGCUGAGGUGCGAAAGCGUGGGGAGCAAACAGGAUUAGAAACCCCAGUAGUCC
RNAcentral lists this ribosomal RNA (425 nucleotides) under uncultured bacterium. Its description in RNAcentral is "partial 16S ribosomal RNA". It matches the Rfam family "Bacterial small subunit ribosomal RNA", at positions 354 to 796 of the family's 1533-position model. The record is from RNAcentral.